CUCCAUUUGAGACGAUUCUCUAUGAAGUUAUAAAUGAUGCCUAAAAGAUCUGCAUGCGCGUAUGUGAUCUGUAUGUGUAAAUUAUAAACUGCUGCAAAUGUCUAAGUGACUUGUUGUGUACGUGGAGAAAAUAUUUUCCUGAAAUAACCGGAUAUGUACUGUUCUCUCUCUCAGUAUACAGUACGUUUACAUGGACAACAUUAAUCCGAUAUUAAUCCGAUUAAGACGAUGUUCUGAUUAAGAAUCUAGCAUGUAAACAACAAUUUAUUAUUACCUUAAUCCAAUUAAAGUCACACUCGAAGUAAACACUAAUCGAAUUAGGACGUGUGGAGUAGUCCUGUUUUAGUCGCAUUAUCGACGUGCGUUACAGACUACGUUUACAUGGACAGCAGUGAUCUAAUUAUGGACCUUAUUCUGAAUAAGACAAUAUUCUAAUUAAGGUGUUUACAUGAGUCGCUUUUAGAAUACUGCUUUCAUGUUCCUGUUUUAUAUAUUAUAGAACAUACAGUUAAUCUUCGUUAUGGUACAGAUGUAUAUGUAUACAGAUUUGGGUGUUUUCAAUUUUACGAAAGCUUCAAGUGCGGUUAAUUAUUAGUCAUGCUGUACGUGCUAAUAGACGACCGCUUGAAGCCGUGGGCUGCGUCCCAAACCGCAUACUUACUUACUAUAUAGUAGCUGAUAUACAUGUAUUUCGCUUACUGUAUAGCAGGUAAGUACGCGGUUUCAGAUGCAGGCGUGCUCUCGUGUUUGCCGUAAAACGGUUGAGCGCUGCCGUGUGUGUACGUGUCCUGUCGCACAAUGCGGUGAAAACUCCCACACGACGUUACUAGUGUGAUUAAGGUGUGUACAUGUCUGUAACGCACGUCGAUAACGCGACUAAAACAGGAAUACUCCACACGUCUUAAUUCCAUUUGUGUUUACUUCGAGUAUGACCUUAAUCGGAUUAAGGUCAUCAAUAAUCUCUGUUUACAUGCUAGUUUCUUAAUCAGAGUAUCGUCUUAAUCGGGUUCAUAUCGGAUUAUCGUCGUCCAUGUAAACGUACUGAUUGACAUGUACACACCUUAAUCACACUAGUAACGUCGUGUGGGAGUUUUUGCGACAGGACACGUACACACACGGCAGUGCUCAGCUGUUUGACGGCAAACAAGAGAGCACGGCUGCGUCCGAAACCACGUACUUACCCACUGUAUAGCAGGCGAAAUACAUGUAUCUCAGCUACUAUAUAAUAAGUAAGUACGCGGUUUGGGACGCAGCCCACGGCUUCAAGCAGUCGUCUAUUUGCACGUACAGCACGACGAAUAAUUAACUGCACUUGAAGCUUCCGUAAAAAUUAGUAAUGAAACGCCCAAAACUGUAUACGGAACCAUAACGAAGACGAACUGUACAUCGAUACGUGAAAUUCUGGAGGGACGUCGGACGGCGUGGCGUGGGGAUGUAAUGACGUGUGCCGUUAAUCUAACUAUGUUCUAUAACAUGAACAACAGGAACAUGAAAGUAUUCUAAAAGCGACUCAUGUAAACACCUUAAUCAGAAUACUGUCUUAUUCAGAAUAAGGUCAAUAAUUAGAUCACUGCUGUCCAUAUAAAUGCACUACUCCAGUAGAACUACUUUCUACUGAUUACGUCACCCAUCAUCAUAACAGGAUCUGAACAAAGACAUAUGCAAUCUUUGAUAUGGAGUAGUAAAAGUAUUGUUUUGGGUAUUGUUGGGACAAGCACUGCAUGAUUCUGAGAACUAGCCACUUAGUCUGACACCGAAUAGUAGAAUAAAAAAGCAAUAGAAACACGCUUUGUGUUUUAUUUCUCAGAGAUUUUGUGUUAAAUGGUUUAGUUAUAGAGUUUAGCAUUAUCUCAAUGCUGUAAGCAGAUUAUAUGAUAUACAGAAUUUCUAUGUAAAACCAAACCAAUACAAUACCUUUCUUCCAGGAGAUAUUCUUUCUUCACACCAGCUAGAAAUCCAGUAUGAACACAUGGGAGUCAGCUUAAUGUUGUUGCAGCUCUAGUUCACAUCGUGACCAUCCUCCUCCUCCUCAUCAUCAUCACCAUCAUCGUCACCAUCAGCAGUCAUGGUCUCUCGUUCUCUCCUGCUGGUUCUGCUGGGUCUCGUCUGUCUUCAGUCCUUCACAACAGCUGAGAGUCAAAAUGAAGGUGGUCGAUGCUGUUUCAGAUACCAGACACAUCCAAUCCCUGUAAGACUCAUUACAGCGUAUGAAGUAACAGACCAUCAGUGUCCAAAACCUGGAGUCUUCUUUACUCUAAAGGACGGCCGUAAGGUGUGUGCAGACACCAGCGUCGAGUGGGUGCAGAAACUCAUGAAAACAAUUAACCAGCGCCCGACCCAACCUCAAACAACUGAUUAAAUCCUCUCUCCAUUAAUAAGCAUUUAAUUUUAUUUUUUUAAAUACAAAAAGCACUUUUGAUAUAUUUAGGCAGGAGGAAUAAAGCUUUUUAUUAUAAAUCAGAUUUAAACAAACCUUUCAGUCGUUUAGUCUAUUAUUGUUUACCUGAUCUAAACUAUAGGCUGUGAGGAUGAAUGAAUUAUAAUUUAUAUAUAUUAAAGGACAUUUUAAACUGUC
Molecule: RNA transcript, 2575 nt
Organism: Ictalurus furcatus (blue catfish)
Lineage: Eukaryota; Metazoa; Chordata; Actinopteri; Siluriformes; Ictaluridae
Gene name: C-C motif chemokine 3
Exons: 4
Source: RefSeq, a predicted model, not a curated record